This 946-nucleotide ribosomal RNA is filed under the name uncultured bacterium. RNAcentral describes it as "partial 16S ribosomal RNA". The stretch from base 2 to 523 matches the Rfam family "Bacterial small subunit ribosomal RNA", at positions 9 to 546 of the family's 1533-position model. The record is from RNAcentral.
AGAGUUUGAUCCUGGCUCAGGACGAACGCUGGCGGCGUGCUUAACACAUGCAAGUCGAGCGGUAAGGCCCUUCGGGGUACACGAGCGGCGAACGGGUGAGUAACACGUGAGCAACCUGCCCCCGACUCUGGGAUAAGCGGCGGAAACGCCGUCUAAUACCGGAUACGACCCGCCACCUCAUGGUGUGCGAGUGGAAAGUCUUUUCGGUUGGGGAUGGGCUCGCGGCCUAUCAGCUUGUUGGUGGGGUAAAGGCCUACCAAGGCGAUUACGGGUAGCCGGCCUGAGAGGGCGACCGGCCACACUGGGACUGAGACACGGCCCAGACUCCUGCGGGAGGCAGCAGUGGGGAAUAUUGCACAAUGGGCGAAAGCCUGAUGCAGCGACGCCGCGUGGGGGAUAAUCCCGCGGCCAUGGCGGCCGGGAGCAUGCGACGUCGGGCCCAAUUCGCCCUAUAGUGAGUCGUAUUACAAUUCACUGGCCGUCGUUUUACAACGUCGUGACUGGGAAAACCCUGGCGUUACCCAACUUAAUCGCCUUGCAGCACAUCCCCCUUUCGCCAGCUGGCGUAAUAGCGAAGAGGCCCGCACCGAUCGCCCUUCCCAACAGUUGCGCAGCCUGAAUGGCGAAUGGACGCGCCCUGUAGCGGCGCAUUAAGCGCGGCGGGUGUGGUGGUUACGCGCAGCGUGACCGCUACACUUGCCAGCGCCCUAGCGCCCGCUCCUUUCGCUUUCUUCCCUUCCUUUCUCGCCACGUUCGCCGGCUUUCCCCGUCAAGCUCUAAAUCGGGGGCUCCCUUUAGGGUUCCGAUUUAGUGCUUUACGGCACCUCGACCCCAAAAAACUUGAUUAGGGUGAUGGUUCACGUAGUGGGGCCAUCGCCCUGAUAGACGGUUUUUCGCCCUUUGACGUUGGAGUCCACGUUCUUUAAUAGUGGACUCUUGUUCCCAA